AAGUUUGAACAACGUCUUAACUAUUUUGGAGGACUGCCAGGGGCAAAUAUUCACCAGCGGAAUAGGUAAAUCUGGUCUUAUUGCUAACAGGUUAGCCGCUUCAUUGAGCUCCAUUGGUGUAUCAUCACAAUACGUCAGUGCUGUGGAAUGGAGGCAUGGAGAUCUAGGUAAACUAACUCCUGGUAGAGAUGUGUGUAUAUUUAUAUCUCACAGUGGAUCUACUGAUGAAACAGUGGAAGCAGCUGCUUCUGUCUUAGCUAAAGGAGUCACUACGAUAUCAAUCACUGGGAAACAA
Molecule: long non-coding RNA, 295 nt
Organism: Amphimedon queenslandica
Lineage: Eukaryota; Metazoa; Porifera; Demospongiae; Haplosclerida; Niphatidae
Exons: 3
Source: RefSeq, a predicted model, not a curated record